GCGAGUGAGCGGGAAGAGCUCAAAUUUGAAAUCUAGUAGCCUUCGGCUGCUCGAGUUGUAAUCUAGAGAAGUGUUUUCCGUGCCGGCCCAUGUACAAGUCCCUUGGAACAGGGCGUCAUAGAGGGUGAGAAUCCCGUCCUUGACAUGGACCCCCGGUGCUCUGUGAUACACUUUCAACGAGUCGAGUUGUUUGGGAAUGCAGCUCAAAAUGGGUGGUGAAUUCCAUCUAAAGCUAAAUAUUGGCGAGAGACCGAUAGCGAACAAGUACCGUGAGGGAAAGAUGAAAAGCACUUUGGAAAGAGAGUUAAACAGUACGUGAAAUUGUUGAAAGGGAAACGAUUGAAGUCAGUCAUGCUCUUUGGUAUUUAUAUCAUUGAGUGGGGUCAACAUCAGUUUUGAGCGAUGGAUAAAGGCACUAGGAAGGUAGCACUCUCGGGUGAACUUAUAGCCUAGCGUCAUAUACAUUGUUUGGGACUGAGGAACGCAGCAUGCCUUUAUGGCCGGGAUUC
RNAcentral lists this ribosomal RNA (509 nucleotides) under Naganishia diffluens. RNAcentral describes it as "partial large subunit ribosomal RNA". It matches the Rfam family "Eukaryotic large subunit ribosomal RNA", at positions 89 to 520 of the family's 3401-position model. The record is from RNAcentral. Lineage: Eukaryota; Fungi; Basidiomycota; Tremellomycetes; Filobasidiales; Filobasidiaceae.